RNAcentral lists this ribosomal RNA (776 nucleotides) under uncultured bacterium. RNAcentral describes it as "bacterial SSU rRNA". It matches the Rfam family "Bacterial small subunit ribosomal RNA", at positions 62 to 819 of the family's 1533-position model. The record is from RNAcentral.
UCGAACGCGAAAACCCCGCAAGGGGUUAGUAGAGUGGCAAACGGGUGAGUAACACGUGGGUGACCUGCCUUCGAGCGGGGGAUAACGUCCCGAAAGGGACGCUAAUACCGCAUAACAUCCUGCCUUUGAACAGGCGGAGAUCAAAGCCGGGGAUCGUAAGACCUGGCGCUUGAUGAGGGGCCCGCGUCCGAUUAGCUAGUUGGUGGGAUAACGGCUCACCAAGGCGACGAUCGGUAACCGGCCUGAGAGGGCGGACGGUCACACUGGGACUGAGACACGGCCCAGACUCCUACGGGAGGCAGCAGUGGGGAAUUGUUCGCAAUGGGCGCAAGCCUGACGACGCAAUGCCGCGUGGAGGAUGAAGGUCUUCGGAUUGUAAACUCCUGUUGCCCGGGACGAAAAGCUUAGACCUAAUACGUCUGAGUCUGACGGUACCGGGUGAGGAAGCCCCGGCUAACUCUGUGCCAGCAGCCGCGGUAAUACAGAGGGGGCAAGCGUUGUUCGGAAUUACUGGGCGUAAAGGGCGCGUAGGCGGCCUGUUAAGUCGAACGUGAAAUCCCUGGGCUCAACCCAGGAACUGCGUCCGAUACUGGCAGGCCUGAAUCCGGGAGAGGGAUGCGGAAUUCCAGGUGUAGCGGUGAAAUGCGUAGAUAUCUGGAGGAACACCGGUGGCGAAGGCGGCAUCCUGGACCGGCAUUGACGCUGAGGCGCGAAAGCCAGGGGAGCAAACGGGAUUAGAUACCCCGGUAGUCCUGGCCCUAAACGAUGAAUGCUUG